This 1097-nucleotide long non-coding RNA is filed under the name Pan troglodytes (chimpanzee). Its description in RNAcentral is "long non-coding RNA NONPTRT012225". The record is from RNAcentral. Lineage: Eukaryota; Metazoa; Chordata; Mammalia; Primates; Hominidae.
CCAGAGCCUCCCCUGCCGUUUGUCCUCAGAACUGGGUUCCUUUUUUCCCCUGUCCCUUCCUCUCCCUUCUCUCCCUUGCUGCAGACUGCACAGCGCAAGAUCAGGGAAAUUGUACAACAGGUGAAGCAGCAGGAGCAGAAAUACCCUCAGGGAGUCGCCUCACAGCGCAGCAAGUGAGGCUCCCACAGGCACCAGCAAAACAACGGAUGAAUGUAGCCCUUCCAACACCUGACAGAAUGAGACCAAACGCAGCCAGCCAGAUCGGGAGCAAACCAAAGACCAUCUGAGGAAUGAGAAGUCUGCGGAGGCGGCCAGGGACUCUGCGGAGGCCCUGAGAACCCCAGGGGCCGAGGAGGGGUGGGGAAGGCAAAGCAGUGCUCUGAGUAUCACAUCACACAAAAGGAACAAAAGCGAAACACACAAACCAGCCUCAACUUACACUUGGUUACUCAAAAGAACAAGAGUCAAUGGUACUUGUCCUAGCGUUUUGGAAGAGGAAAACAGGAACCCACCAAACCAACCAAUCAACCAAACAAAGAAAAAAAUUCCACAAUGAAAGAAUGUAUUUUGUCUUUUUGCAUUUUGGUGUAUAAGCCAUCAAUAUUCAGCAAAAUGAUUGCUUUCUUUAAAAAAAAAUGUGGAGGAAAGUAGAAAUUUACCAAGGUUGUUGGCCCAGGGCGUUAAAUUCACAGAUUUUUUUAACGAGAAAAACACACAGAAGAAGCUACCUCAGGUGUUUUUACCUCAGCACCUUGCUCUUGUGUUUCCCUUAGAGAUUUUGUAAAGCUGAUAGUUGGAGCAUUUUUUUAUUUUUUUAAUAAAAAUGAGUUGGAAAAAAAAUAAGAUAUCAACUGCCAGCCUGGAGAAGGUGACAGUCCAAGUGUGCAACAGCUGUUCUGAAUUGUCUUCCGCUAGCCAAGAACCUAUAUGGCCUUCUUUUGGACAAACCUUGAAAAUGUUUAUUUAAAAAAAAAAAAAGAUGACAAAGAAAAACAGAGAGAGAGAAUAUUGGAGAUGUCCUGAAUUUUAAUAGGGUACGCGCCAUUAGGGCUUUUUGCGCUAAAGGAUGAACAUGUACUGGUUUAUGUGGACAAGCC